GCGCCCUGGGGGUCGGCCGCGGGCUUCUUCCCGCCGUUGAUGUCGGUGGCGAUGUAGGCGUUGCCCGUCUUGUCGUUCCACUCGCCGAGGAUGCG
This 95-nucleotide transfer RNA is filed under the name Streptomyces griseoluteus. Its description in RNAcentral is "tRNA-Ile". The record is from RNAcentral. Lineage: Bacteria; Bacillati; Actinomycetota; Actinomycetes; Kitasatosporales; Streptomycetaceae.